This 480-nucleotide long non-coding RNA is filed under the name Androctonus crassicauda. The record is from RNAcentral. Lineage: Eukaryota; Metazoa; Arthropoda; Arachnida; Scorpiones; Buthidae.
CCCCUCUGCUUCCUUUUUCCCACUUCCUUUUUUGGGUCCUCCCUGUUUCUUCACGAGUUUUGCAUCUUCCCACUUUACUGUAAUAUCACUAAUUAUGGCUCUUUGGGCCAGCGCUGUUGUAGGUGCCAACUUGUCUAUAUCACUCCUAUGUUCUUUUAUUCUCUUAGGCUACACAGCAAGGUCUCAUUCUCAUUCAGGUCUGUUCUCAUUCAAAUCAUUAUCCAUUACUGGUAUCUUGUAUACCCCUGGAAAACUGUUAUGGUUGUAUUUAUCUUUAUCAUUUCUCAUUGCAUUAAAUAGUGUAUUUCUCCUACUGAAAGCAAUCCUCUGGCCAGUGACCCUCUCAAUUUUCUUCCUAAAUUCAUAGUGACCAUAGUAACAUGAGGUUUUUAAAAAUUGAUGUUCGGUAAAUUUUGUUCUAUGUUUUUGAAGCUGAUGAUUUGUGAAUAAAAAUCAAAAGCACUGCUGCUUAUAAAAGCU